Long non-coding RNA from Lathyrus oleraceus (garden pea), 2775 nucleotides. RefSeq lists it as uncharacterized. NCBI's taxonomy places the organism in Eukaryota, Viridiplantae, Streptophyta, Magnoliopsida, Fabales, Fabaceae. The record is from RefSeq and is a predicted model, not a curated record. The transcript has 7 exons.
UUUGUUUUGCUUAAACUAAAUAAAAUAAAAACAAAAACAAGAGCAACAGCAACGGAUGCCUCAUCGUCCUCCUCUCUCACUUCACUCGCUUUCUCAAUCUCAACGAAUUUCUCUCACCCUCUUAACCCCACGUUUCUCUCACCCUCAAUCAUUCAUCUCUCAGCUGCUCUCUCAAUCUAAAAUGCAAGGAUCCAUGGUUUUAAGGAGAAACAAAAAGAAAGAAGCUCACCUCCGGCGACGAAGACUCAGCUUUAGGGUUUCAAUUUGGUAUCCAAAGAUUCAAUAGGGAAACUUCCUGAAAAUGCUUUUUGUGCUCAGAAUUGGGUUGUCCUGUUUGAUGCUACAAUUCGAAACGUGAAUUUCUUGUAACAGGGAGGUUGUUGAUGAGGUUGAGGUUCAAGGGUUUGGUUGCAGAAGGUUCUGUUGUUGUUGUUGCUGCAUCUGAGAUAACAUAUGUGAUAACCACCGUCUGUCCAACUUCAAGGCCGUUUAAUCCAGCAUGUACAUUGAUCGAAUUUGUGCAGAAAACAGCCAACAGCCCCAUGUAUAGUUUAUACAUCCAUCCAAGAUCCAAAAUCUCUAUGCCAAUAUGUGGUACAAGUGGUUUCGGUAUAACUAUAGUUGUGUGUCCAGCAUAUGCCAUUAACAAAGGAAGUACAACAAUUGAUGGUAGUAAUAAUUUUACUCUCCAAGGGACAUCAAGGACAUCAUCGACAAAUCCAAACAAUGUCAUGAAACAGAUGCAUGCUAAAGCAAAUUUGUACUCAACAAGCCAAUUUGAAUUUGCUGUGAAGUUGAAAUGCUGAAAUAAGAUUGUCACAACCAAGAAGAUAAUACCAUCAACUAUACCCAAUGAUUCAGGUUAUGGUUGGUGUGAUCGGUUAUGGACCAGGGACAUCACUUAACAGGCAUGAAUUGAGUUAUUCUGUUAGGUUGAAUCCUACUGAGAAAGGCGACAUUGCUUUAAUGUUUGGUGAUGGCACUUGUUGUGUUUGAAUUUAGCUUAUGGCUUGAGUGAUAAGUAAACUGAACUCCUCCGGUUUUUUAAUGUUUCAGGAUGUUCCUUUAAAUACAUGUCAAUGGCACGGUAAAGACCAUCAUGAGACUGUCUAGGAAAGCUUGAUACCAGAUCGGCGAUAUUCACAAAUAUCAGAAGAGGCAAAUUCAGAUCACGUGCAAUCUCAGCAAGAUAGCUAUCGACCAGUUUCGCUACCUUGAUCUUGCUAGAAGAACUUGAUACCAUUUUAGGACUUCUGAUCUCCUGCAAUUCGUCUUCCAACAGAGAUUGAUGUUCCUGUGCUACAAACGCCUCAACGAGCUUCUGCAUAGUUUCGACGUCGUAAGCUGGACUCAAAUAUAUUCAGAGUCGGAACCCAUGUGCCGAGAAGAAUUUCAGCUCCUGCUAACAGCAAGAGAUUUUGCAAUUGCCCAUCCGUACCCAUUGUCAUCAGCCACGCCGACUUUACAGAUGAUGAUGUAAAGCUCCGUUGGAAGGGCUGCACCGACGCAUCAUGACACACACUCGCAAGUUUAUUCCAUGAUCCCCCUUGGACUUUCCACCGAAAAUCUCAGUACUCACAUCGGUAAACUUCUGUGGUGAAGGAAUGCAUGAUCUUGACAUUGCAAUUUGCAAGGUUGCGGACAUCAUACCAUAUAGUUCAUUCGGUAAAGAUGAUCCCCGGAAAGUAUCAAUAUAUGCUCAACAUUCUGGUCUUGGCGUUCUCAAAAACCCAUAGAAAUUGCCUCACAGCAUCAGCAGUCCCCUGGAACCAUUUCUUGCCAGCUUCUCCAGAUGUUUGAGUUGCAGCCAAUACCUCCACAAAACCCUCCCCAUAAGUGGAAACAUUUCCAAAAUUAUACGCGCGAGAUAAAUGUCGGUUGAGUGAGAAAGAAUUGUAUUGUGUCAAGAUAAAUAUUUUUCUAAUCCCACUGUUGAUGCAAUUGCUCAUAGGAACAUCAAUGAGCCUAUAACACCCUCCACUUGGAACAGCAGGUUUAACUCUUUUGCUAGUAAGAGGAAAAAAAGGCGAGUUCUCGCACCACCACCCAAAAUGAUUGAAGCAACACUUUUAGGGUCUGCUUUAGGAGUAUCAAAAUAGGGUCCAUCAUGAAAAGUCAUGGAUUCUUCAAAAUCAUUGAUCCUUGUAGUGAGAACAGCCUGAAUUCUUCUAGGCUUGAAGUUUCUAAGAAUGAAGCGAGAUUGUGAAGUUUUGAUGUCAGUUUGGAUUCCUUCCAUCCUUGCUUACAUGAAUGCAUUGGUGUUGCUGGAGUUGUGAGAAGGCAGGCAGUGGAUAUCUCACCCCUUCGCCGUGUUAAUCAAGCUAUCUAUCUUAUCAGUAUCGGUGCACGUGAAGCUGCUUUUAGGAAUAUUAAGACAAUUGCUGAAUGUUUGGCUGAUGAACUUAUUAAUGCGGCAAAAGGUUCAUCUAACAGUUAUGCAAUAAAGAAGAAAGAUGAAAUUGAGAGAGUUGCCAAGGCAAAUCGUUAAGCAACUUAUGACAGGAGAAUUGGCACCCUCAGAUUUUUUGAUGCAACUUAAUUAUGAUUUUGACUUUAGUUUCUUAGCCUUUUGCUUGCGUAUACAAUGAGUAAUUUUGUUCCUUAAACGUGUAAUGUGUUUGUUUUCCAAGACCAUGAUGCGUUUGGUUUAGACAUGAUAUUGCUGUUAUGGAAUUCUUAUGGGAUUGGAAUUGGGAUUUGUUUUUGUUGGAUAAUUGUUUUGGAUUAAUGAACUUUGGGUUAUGAAAUGGUUUAAAUUGGUUCCAAAUGGAUAAU